AGGUCAAGAAAGAAAGAGCAAAGGGCGAAUGCCUUGGCACUGGGCGCCGAAGAAGGACGCGGUAAGCGGCGAAACGCUACGGGGAGCUGCAAGCAAGCAUUGAUCCGUAGAUAUCCGAAUGGGGAAACCCACGCUGGGAGAACCCAGCGUAUCCUUACGUAAAUUCAUAGCGUAAGGAAGGGAGACCGGGGGAACUGAAACAUCUAAGUACCCCGAGGAAAAGAAAGAAACAUCGAUUCCCCGAGUAGCGGCGAGCGAAACGGGAAGAGCCCAAACCAACUGGUUACGGCCAGUUGGGGUUUGGACAUUUUCAAUAAGUUUGGAAGUAGCGAUAGCCGAAUUGUCUGGGAAGGCAGGUCAAAGAGGGUAACAACCCCGUAGGCGAAAUUGCGAACCGAAACGAGAAUGUUCCAGAGUACCACCGGACACGAGAAACCCGGUGGGAACAUGGGGGGACCACCCCCCAAGGCUAAAUACGACCCAGUGACCGAUAGCGAAUAGUACCGUGAGGGAAAGGUGAAAAGAACCCCGGGAGGGGAGUGAAACAGAACCUGAAACCCUUUGCUUACAAGCUGUGGGAGCAUUUUUAACGAAUGUGACCGCGUACUUUUUGUAGAACGGGCCAACGAGUUGCGAUUGGUAGCAAGGUUAAGCUCUUCAGGAGCGGAGCCGCAGCGAAAGCGAGUCUUAAGAGGGCGAUAAGUUACCGGUUGCAGACCCGAAACCGUGCGAUCUACCCAUGGCCAGGUUGAAGCGAGAGUAAAAUCUCGUGGAGGACCGAACCAGGUGACGUUGAAAAGUCAUUGGAUGAGCUGUGGGUAG
This 822-nucleotide ribosomal RNA is filed under the name Tindallia sp. MSAO_Bac2. Its description in RNAcentral is "partial 23S ribosomal RNA". It matches the Rfam family "Bacterial large subunit ribosomal RNA", at positions 1 to 818 of the family's 2925-position model. The record is from RNAcentral. Lineage: Bacteria; Bacillati; Bacillota; Clostridia; Peptostreptococcales; Tindalliaceae.